RNAcentral lists this small nuclear RNA (305 nucleotides) under Octodon degus (degu). Its description in RNAcentral is "7SK RNA (ENSODEG00000024079.1)". It matches the Rfam family "7SK RNA". Rfam says of the family: 7SK was discovered as an abundant small nuclear RNA in the mid-70s but a possible function has only recently been suggested. Two independent studies have found that 7SK RNA binds the CDK9/cyclin T complex (known as elongation factor P-TEFb). Lineage: Eukaryota; Metazoa; Chordata; Mammalia; Rodentia; Octodontidae. The record is from RNAcentral.
GGACGUGAGGGCAAUCUGGCUGUGACAUCUGCCACCCCACUGAUCGCGAGGGUUGUUUGGGCUGAUCUGGCUGGCUGGGCAGGUGUCUCCUUCCUCCCUCUAUGCUCCAUGUGCGUCCCUUCGCACUCAGUCGAAGAGGAAGCCUACCCCCAUAGAGGAGGACUGUUCCUCUGUCACGGGUACAUAAGCAACUGCACUCCCCUGCUAGAACCUCCAAACAAGCUCUCAGAAAGUAAAUUCACUGCUGAAAGCAUAUAUCUAAGUGAGCUCAUCAGGAAAUAAAAAUUUUUCAGGAGCAUUUCUUU